CCUACGGGUGGCAGCAGUGGGGAAUAUUGCACAAUGGGGGAAACCCUGAUGCAGCGACGCCGCGUGAGUGAAGAAGUAUUUCGGUAUGUAAAGCUCUAUCAGCAGGAACGAGACAAGACGGUACCUGACUAAGAAGCCCCGGCUAACUACGUGCCAGCAGCCGCGGGAAUACGUAGGGGGCAAGCGUUAUCCGGAAUCACUGGGUGUAAAGGGAGGGUAGACGGCUGAGCAAGCCUGAGGUGAAAGGCGGGGGCCCAACCCCCGGACUGCUUUGGGAACUGUACGGCUGGAGUGCAGGAGAGGUAAGUGGAAUUCCUGGUGUAGCGGUGAGAUGCGUAGAGAUUAGGAGGAACACUAGUGGCGAAGGCGGCCUACUGGACUGUAACUGACGUUGAGGCUCGAAAGCGUGGGGAGCAAACAGGAUUAGAUACCCCUGUAGUC
This 441-nucleotide ribosomal RNA is filed under the name uncultured bacterium. Its description in RNAcentral is "partial 16S ribosomal RNA". It matches the Rfam family "Bacterial small subunit ribosomal RNA", at positions 338 to 795 of the family's 1533-position model. The record is from RNAcentral.